Suricata suricatta (meerkat) is the source of this 268-nucleotide long non-coding RNA. RefSeq lists it as uncharacterized. The record is from RefSeq and is a predicted model, not a curated record. Lineage: Eukaryota; Metazoa; Chordata; Mammalia; Carnivora; Herpestidae. The transcript has 3 exons.
CAUGCCUGUAAUCGAAUCUCCACUCACCUGUAUCCCAUGACGUGCAUGUGCACAUGUAAUGGAUAGAUGGCACUCCCAAAGCAAGUGCUGUGAAAGAGAAGAGGUUUACCACCCCCCAGCCUCUGCCUUGUCUCACUUCCCAAGCCUGGGCACCAGAACUGGCUUGACACAGGAUUGCACCCUCCUGAAAUUGCACUCCUGAAGGCUGCUAGGGAGAAUGCACCGUUGUGAGCAUCAGUGAAAUCAGGCUUAAUCAUAGUAAUGGAAG